RNAcentral lists this ribosomal RNA (3192 nucleotides) under Candidatus Saccharibacteria bacterium oral taxon 488. RNAcentral's name for it is "23S ribosomal RNA". It matches the Rfam family "Bacterial large subunit ribosomal RNA". The record is from RNAcentral. Lineage: Bacteria; Candidatus Saccharimonadota.
AAGGUACUCAAGGGCACUAAAUGGAUGCCUAGACGUAUAUUACCGAUGAAGGACGUGGAAGACUGCGAUAAGCCUCGGGAAGCUGUCAACAAGCUUUGAUCCGGGGAUUUCCGAAUGGGGAAACCCAGCAUGAGUCAUGUCAUGUUGCCACUUGCUGAACACAUAGGCAAGCGAGCGGGAACCAUCUGAACUGAAACAUCUUAGUAGGAUGAGGAAGAGAAAGUAAAUAACGAUUGCGAAAGUAGUGGCGAGCGAAAUCGCAACAGCCCAAACCUUUUAAGUUUUUGCCUAUUUAUUUAGGCAAAUAAGUUGAUAGACGAAUACUUAAUAAGGGGUUGUGAUAUUACAUAUGACCAAGUCAGAGCAUUUGAAUUCGUUCAAAUAAUCUGAUUUGCGAUACCAGGCUAUCAACUGGUAGUAAGGUAAGAAAAUGGCGUGGUUAGCAGAAUAGUUUGAAUGACUAGCCAAAGAGCGUGAAAGCCGUGUACGCGAAAACGACGCUGACCUUAUGUAUGUUUUAUCGAGUAGGACGGGGCACGAGAAACCCUGUUUGAAUCUGGCUGGACCACCAGCCAAGGCUAAAUAUAAUAUACGAUCGAUAGUGAACUAGUACAGCGAUGGAAAGGUGAAAAGAACCCCGGGAGGGGAGUGAAAUAGAUCCUGAAAUUUAGUGCCUACAAGGAGUCGGAGCCGGCUUGUCCGGUGACGGCGUGCUUUUUGUAGAACGAUCCAGCGAGUUAAUUUUUACAGCGAGGUUAAGUCAAUUGACGGAGCCACAGUGAAAGCGAGCCUGAAUAGGGCGUUUAGUUGUAAGGAUUAGACCCGAAACCGGGUGACCUAACCAUGAGCAGGUUGAAGCCACUGUAACAGGUGGUGGAGGACCGAACCAGGAUACGCAGCAAAGUGUUUGGAUGACUUGUGGUUAGCGGUGAAAUGCCAAUCGAACUCGGAGAUAGCUGGUUCUCCUCGAAAUAGCUUUAGGGCUAGCGUCGUGUUAGUAGCACAUGGGGGUAGAGCUCUGUAAAGGACUGGGGCGGGCAACUGUACCCACCCUUAACAAACUACGAAUACCAUGUGUGUAACCACGGCAGUUAGAACAUCGGUGCUAAGAUCGGUGCUCGAAAGGGAAACAGCCCAGACCAUCAUCUAAGGUCCCUAAAUUAACGUUCAGUGGGAAACAAGGUGAGAUUUCUUAAACAGCUAGGAUGUUGGCUUAGAAGCAGCCAUUCAUUUAAAGAGUGCGUAACAGCUCACUAGUCAAGAGAUCUUGCGUGGAAAAUGUAACGGGGCUAAAACGUUAUACCGAAGAUAUGGAUAUUCAGUAUCUUUCUUGCCCUUUAAUAAGUGACUUAAAAAAAUAAGAACUUCUUAAAGGGAUGGCUACACUAACGUGUGGUUUUGAGAUAGAUACUGAAUGUGGUAGAGGAGCGUUCCUAUCAGCAGUGAAGUCGAAUCGGAAGGUUCGGUGGAGCGGUAGGAAGUGAGAAUGCUGGAAUGAGUAACCAUAAGAGAGGUGAGAAUCCUCUCGGCCGUAAGAGCAAGGUUUCCUGAGCCAUGGUAAUCAUCUCAGGGUUAGUCGGGCCUAAGCCGAGGCGCAGAGCGUAGGCGAUGGACAUCAGGUUAAUAUUCCUGAACCGGUUAAGUUUUGUACACUGUUCACGGGGAAGUAAUCGAAGCGGAUUCAUGGUUUAUCCGUCCAACCGAGCGGGAACGCAAAGGGAGUGAAAGUGAUUCUUCGGAGUCGCGAUUUUGGUGAAAGCCCUGGCUAGAAAAGCAGGUGUACGCGUGGACUUAGCCGCCCGUACCGCAAACCAACACAGGUGCUCGAGUCGAGUAGACUCAGGCUUACGAGCGAACCUUCGCUAAGGAACUCGGCAAUACAGCGACCGUAACUUCGGGAUAAGGUCUGCCCCCACUUCGGUGGAUAUCAGCCGCGUUCACUCAGUGAAUAAUAGGUUAAAGAGUACAUUUUUAAUCACAAAACGAAUUUUCUGAGAUAGAGCAAUGAAUUGUUCUUUUGAACGCGAAUCUCUGACAUCUAACGAUGUGGGGGCCGCAGCAAAAGAGCCCACGGAACUGUUUAUCAAAAACACAGGUCUCUGCUAACACGAAAGUGGAUGUAUAGGGGCUGACUCCUGCCCAAUGCUGGAAGGUUAAGGGGAGCGCUUCACGGUGCGAACUGAAGCCCUAGUCAAUGGCGGCGGUAACUAUAACCGUCCUAAGGUAGCGAAAUUCCUUGUCAGGUAAGUUCUGACCCGCACGAAUGGAGUAAUCAUGUGGGCACUGUCUCAGCGAAGGACUCGGUGAAAGUGCAUUGGCGGUAAAGAUGCCGUCUGUCCGUACCAGGACGAAAAGACCCCAUGGAGCUUUACUACAGCUUUACAUUGAAUACGGUUUCAACAUGUGUAGCAUAGGUGGGAGACGUUGAAGCAGAUACGCCAGUAUUUGUGGAGUCACCAAGUGAAAUACCACCCUUGUUGUGAUUGUGUUCUCACGCUGACCGUUAUCCGGUUAGCGGACCGUGUAUGGUGGGUAGUUUAACUGGGGCGGUUGCCUCCUAAAGAGUAGCGGAGGCGUUCAAAGGUUGGCUAACUUCGGAUGGAAAUCGAAGUGAUAGUGUAUGCGCAUAAGCCAGCUUGACUGUGAGGAGUACAUUCCAAUCAGAGACGAAAGUCGGAGCAAGUGAUCCGCUGUACGUACAUUUGUACAUGAAUGUGGGAUCGACAGCGCAAACGGAUAAAAGUUACCCUGGGGAUAACAGGCUUAUAGCGCCCAAUAGUUCACAUAGACGGCGCUGUUUGGCACCUCGAUGUCGGCUCAUCACAUCCUGGAGGGGGAGCACCUUCCAAGGGUUCGGCUGUUCGCCGAUUAAAGUGGUACGCGAGCUGGGUUCAGAACGUCGUGAGACAGUUCGGUUUAUAUCCGGUAUGGACGAUAGGAAACUUGAGAGGAUCUACCCCUAGUACGAGAGGACCGGGGCGGACGCACCUCUGGUGUAUCGAUUGUGGCCACCUGCUGCAUUGUCGAGUAGCUAUGUGCGGACUAGAUAAGCGCUGAAAGCAUAUUAAGCGCGAAACUAACCUCAAGAUAAGGUUUCCCUAUGAGGACACAGAAAGACUAUCUGUUUGAUAGGCGCAAGGUGGAAGUGCAGCAAUGCAUGGAGCUAAAGCGUACUAAUAGUCCCAUUGCCUU